GCAGUAGCCACGGUAAUACGUAGGGUGCGAGCGUUAAUCGGAAUUACUGGACGUAAAGCGUGCGCAGGCGGUUGUGUAAGACAGGUGUGAAAUCCCCGGGCUUAACCUGGGAACUGCGCUUGUGACUGCACAGCUAGAGUAUGGCUGAGGGGGGUGGAAUUCCACGUGUAGCAGUGAAAUGCGUAGAGAUGUGGAGGAACACCGAUGGCGAAGGCAGCCCCCUGGGCCAAUACUGACGCUCAUGCACGAAAGCGUGGGGAGCAAACAGGAUUAGAUACCCCAGUAGUCCCUGUCUCUUAUAA
RNAcentral lists this ribosomal RNA (302 nucleotides) under uncultured bacterium. RNAcentral describes it as "partial 16S ribosomal RNA". It matches the Rfam family "Bacterial small subunit ribosomal RNA", at positions 508 to 809 of the family's 1533-position model. The record is from RNAcentral.